CGUAGCCCUUGUGAACAGAACAGCCCACCACGCGGCCGUACUUGGAGAAAAUGGUCUCCACAUCUGACUUCUUGACCACAGCUGUGUUGAGAUUGCCGAUGAAGACUCUGGAGUUGAUGGACUUGGGGUCAUUCUUGUUCGUUAUGUUGCUUGUCUGCACCUUCAAUGACAUCUUGAACACCGGGAAUGGUGUGGACGCUUGGGUUUGUUAGUCCUUCCUGUCUCUGGUCUGGGAGCAGGUGCAGCACCCCUCCACCGUCUCACCUUCGUCGUGCAGCAAAACCCCCGUCUCCAGCGGGACGCCCGGCAGGACGCGCAGCAGCACUGCCCGCG
RNAcentral lists this long non-coding RNA (333 nucleotides) under Gallus gallus (chicken). The record is from RNAcentral. Lineage: Eukaryota; Metazoa; Chordata; Aves; Galliformes; Phasianidae.